This is a non-coding RNA of Sus scrofa (pig), 364 nucleotides long. The record is from RefSeq and is a predicted model, not a curated record. Lineage: Eukaryota; Metazoa; Chordata; Mammalia; Artiodactyla; Suidae.
AUCUCUGGCUUCCUAGGACGCCAAUAAAAACUCUGGACACCUAAGCAAUAAUUCCCAACAGUCUUUUCUUUUUGGCCGAAGAGCGCGGGGAAUAAGACCAGAUGCAAAGGCCUCCUGUCUAGGUGACCGUGUUUGCACGAGGGCUGCUAAGGAUACAGAGCGCGUCAUCCCUGAUGCACUGCACAGCACAUGUUGCUUGGCAAUAGGUGACUCCGCUGGCAUGGCUUCCUCAUGGACACGAGAAGAGAAGAAUGGGCACCGGCCACCAGCAAAUUGAAGUAAAACCGUGAACGUGGCCUUGAGCGUGUCAUCCCCGGAGCCUGACUGCAGAAGCCUAAGGCCCUGGAAACCAGCAAGUUGGCUA